Capsella rubella is the source of this 374-nucleotide long non-coding RNA. RefSeq lists it as uncharacterized. The record is from RefSeq and is a predicted model, not a curated record. NCBI's taxonomy places the organism in Eukaryota, Viridiplantae, Streptophyta, Magnoliopsida, Brassicales, Brassicaceae. The transcript has 3 exons.
CGUAUCACAGAAGCAAUGGCGAAAACUGAAUAUAAGGAGAAGGAUGGGAAAAAACAACAACUCUACGACCUUCUAGCUGAGUUGCGUAGUAACGAAAAAGAAAAAAAGGAAAUGGAAGAACGUUUGAAGGAAUUAACCAAGAAACUAGAUGAUGCGUCCUCUUCUAAAUAAAGGAAUAAAGCUUGAUCGGAUUCGGAUCGUAGAAAAUACAGAAAGUAAUUAAUUAUUAGUAAUUUUUAUAUUAUUGUCGUUUAUUUUCAACCUUAAAAACCUUCAAUGAAAUAAUUUGAUUUAAGUCUUACUGGGACAAUGAAUAUAUGGUUUGUCAUGUCAUAUAUCUUUGUUUUCAAUAAAUGAAUUAUUAAUCUUAAAUA